This 1133-nucleotide long non-coding RNA is filed under the name Gallus gallus (chicken). RNAcentral describes it as "lncRNA (ENSGALG00010010540.1)". Lineage: Eukaryota; Metazoa; Chordata; Aves; Galliformes; Phasianidae. The record is from RNAcentral.
AGUCAAGGUAAAGGUAUCUCUUUCUGGAGAUCCCUGCAUAGCUGAGGUCUUCCAAAGCGUGAGCUAAUCAGGCAAUUUUAUGUAUGACAACGAACAACCCCAUCCUUGCAAUGAUUUUCUGCACUUUGGGUGCACUUGGCUUUGUUGUACCGUGCAGCACUUGAAGAGACAAUUAUCUCCGCUCUGUGAAGAAUGAGAUACAGAGAAGGGAUAGAAGUGCACAGUCAGUCUGAGUGCAUUAAGGAUUUAACAUUUCAAUGGCCUUGAGGGCAAACCUUGCUACUUUGGACUCCACCCCAAGGCUAAGUGAUAAAGUAUGGAGUGGAGGGCAGUAUGAUUCCAACAGGGGUCAAAAUGAUGUCCUGGGAACCAAGAUUGAGAAAUUAGAGGAGAUGGGCCCAAUGCAGCCUUGAUGAAAUCUAGAGGAAGAGAAGAUUUCUGCUAUUGCUCUGCAGCAUCCUGACUGAGUUUGUUGGGAGCCAUGGGCUCUGGUGGUGUUUGCAGCAGUUCCUUCCUUUUAAUUCUCUGCAUGUGAGGAAUGCCCUGAAUGGCAAGUAGACUCUUCCCAGUAUGAAGACCCUCAAAGGACUCACUUGCAGCCCUGCUUCUUGGAUUUGAUUUAAUAUGACAUUCUGAUAUUGCCAGGUCUGUUGUCUUUAUCUGCUGCCUUGUGAUAGCUGAAGACUUAAUGAGACUGUAAAUUUGGAAACAAAUGGUUACCUGAAAAUGUUUUUGUUUUUUUUUUAAGUAAACACAUUUAUGAUUUUCACAAUAGAAAAGUCACUUUGAAAAGAAUUCAACUUUCUCUAGUUUGUUUUUUUUUUCAGUCUCACAUCCAAUCUGAUUGUUUGGGAUGAGCAGAGAUUGGGUACUAAGUCACUUGUAGGGUCAGAAAGAAUGCAGCUAGAAUGAAAGGCCAUUCAGGUUUCUGGAGGGAAUUCCUGGGAUUUUGAAAAAUAAGUGGGUUUGUCAUUAACUGCCUUUGCUCACUUCAUAUUAUUUUAUUUAUGCUGCAGUUAUGUUUGUUGAUGGAUUGGCUACCUUGUCUGGCCAACUGCUUAAUCUCACUUUACCAAGUGUGGGUUUGCAGAGAUGUAGGAGCAGAUGGAUACCUUUGUUCCAGUAAAUCUUUU